AGAGAGAGACAUGCGCGCAUAUCAAUAAGCGGAGGAAAAGAAACUAACUAGGAUUCCCUCAGUAACGGCGAGUGAAGCGGGAAGAGCUCAAAUUUGAAAUCUUAAAGGUUUCCCUUGACGAAUUGUAGUUUAAAGAAGUGUUUUCUGUUGAGGUUUUGGUAAAAGUUCUUUGGAAUAGGACAUCAUAGAGGGUGAGAAUCCCGUAUUUGACCAUUACUUUCAGCUUUGUGAUACACUUUCAAAGAGUCGGAUUGUUUGGGAAUGCAGUCCAAAAUGGGUGGUAAAUUUCAUCUAAAGCUAAAUAUUGGCGAGAGACCGAUAGCGAACAAGUACCGUGAGGGAAAGAUGAAAAGAACUUUGAAAAGAGAGUUAAACAGUACGUGAAAUUGUCAAAAGGGAAGCGUUUGACACCAGUGUUGUUUUCUCGAAAAUCAAUUAAAGAACUGUUUAUGCUAAGUUGUUUAGACUUUAUCAGCUAUCUGUUUAGUUUUGAGCUUUUCUUUAAUGCACUUUUCAGUUAACAAGUCAACAUCAAUUUCUUUUGCUGUAAAAAAGCUUGAGGAAGGUGGCUUGAGAUUCGUCUUAAGUGUUUAUAGCCUCUUGCCUCUGCAGUCGGAGAGAUUGAGGUCUGCAGCGUAGAUCCUUCGGGGUUAAAUAGCAUUUGUGCUAAGUUAUAGCCUUUCAUAGACAACUUGUUGACUAUGAUCAGUCAUGUAGCUUACUCGCUUAUGCUAUUUUACCUACGCUUAGGAUGUUGAUGUGAUACUGCGAGCA
This 774-nucleotide ribosomal RNA is filed under the name uncultured Neocallimastigales. RNAcentral's name for it is "partial large subunit ribosomal RNA". It matches the Rfam family "Eukaryotic large subunit ribosomal RNA", at positions 23 to 646 of the family's 3401-position model. Lineage: Eukaryota; Fungi; Neocallimastigomycota; Neocallimastigomycetes; Neocallimastigales. The record is from RNAcentral.